RNAcentral lists this long non-coding RNA (1479 nucleotides) under Salmo salar (Atlantic salmon). Its description in RNAcentral is "lncRNA (ENSSSAG00000120788.1)". The record is from RNAcentral. Lineage: Eukaryota; Metazoa; Chordata; Actinopteri; Salmoniformes; Salmonidae.
CCCAAACAAGGGCACUCCGUUCAUCCACCUCUGGCCUGCUCGCCUCCCUACCUCUGAGGAAGCACAGUUCCCGCUCAGCCCAGUCAAAACUGUUCGCUGCUCUGGCACCCCAAUGGUGGAACAAGCUCCCUCACGACGCCAGGACAGCGGAGUCAAUCACCACCUUCCGGAGACACCUGAAACCCCACCUCUUCAAGGAAUACCUGGGUUAGGAUAAGUCCUCCUGGCUCCAGAGACAUGUUCAUGGAAUCAAUUGGCAGCUUGCCUCCGGAGACAGGAGAGAUUGACUUGUUUCACUUGAUGUCAGUGAGGGGAUCUAGAGGAGAGGAGAGAAUUACAGCUUGGCAUUGUUUCAAUUGGCAGGAUGCAGAAGAAAAAGAUACAAUGGGAUGUUUCACCCAACUAGAGCAAAAGCUAAGUGCAGAUCUCUUUACCAGCCACUGGGUGUUAAAAGGGCUAUUGCUAAACAAGACCUGCACACGUCCUUUCCCCUAACCACAAUGAAAUAUUCCUAACAGUACAUGCUGUACUUUAUCAGCUGUUCAGCACUGUGCUGUAAUUAGCUCAUUAAAUCUUCAGGGGCACUCCAAUAGUAGCACACUAAGCCAUACCUCUGGGCUAAAGGGUGUCACUGUGUCGCAGAGAGCUGAGCUGAGCACCGGUGCUUGGCUGCCCUGGAUGCCGGCAGCCCUGCGAUCUAUCAGCCCACCGUUUCCAGUGUUCAGUACCGUGGCAGAGGCAGACACACUGCCCUGAGUGGAAGAAUGAGGACAAAUAACCCUGCUGUACAUAGACUUUCAUCACCAAACAGUGGCAUGCUGCACAGAGUCAGAAAAAGUCAGUACUCCCUGUUCACCCAUGACUGCGUGGCCAUGCACACCUCCAACUCAAUCAUCAAGUUUGCAGACGACACAGAAGUAGUAGGCUUGAUUACCAACAACGACAAGACAGCCUACAGGGAGGAGAUGCACAAUUGAGAGCAUCCUGUCGAAGUGUAUCACCGCCAGGUACGGCAACUGCAACGACAACAACCACAGGGCUCUCCAGAGGGUGGUGUGGUCUGCACAACGCUUCACCGGGGGCAAACUACCUGCCCUCCAGGACACCUACACCACCCGAUGUCACAGGAAGGCCAAAAAGAUCAACAAGAACAACAACCACCCGAGCCACUGCCUGUUCACCCGCUAUUGUCCAAAAGGCAAGAACAGACAAGGGAAAUAUCACAGAGCUGAAAAGUUGAAAAUGGUAAACCACAACCAUAGACAACUAAGGAAUGGAGUAUGCAAUGGAUACCUACAUUUAAUGCAUGUUAGAACACUCUGUCUAGCCAAUCCCCAUCACCUCCUCUGCAGUUCAUCUCACUGCAGGCACAAAAUGCCAAGCUCAUGAACAUCAACAACCCCUGCAGGAUGAAAAAUAAGCCUUGAUUUUAGAGAUGUGAGACAGAAGGAUUAGCAGCCUGUCUGCACCUUGAAGAGA